UGAGGAAUAUUGGUCAAUGGGCGCAAGCCUGAACCAGCCAAGUCGCGUGAAGGAAGACGGCCCUAUGGGUUGUAAACUUCUUUAGGGUGGGAACAAAGGACGCCACGCGUGGCGAGAUGAGUGUACCACCAGAAUAAGCAUCGGCUAACUCCGUGCCAGCAGCCGCGGUAAUACGGAGGAUGCGAGCGUUAUCCGGAUUUAUUGGGUUUAAAGGGUGCGUAGGCGGUUUGUCAAGUCAGCGGUCAAACUGCGGGGCUUAACCUCGUAUUGCCGUUGAAACUGGCUGACUAGCGUGGCGUCGAGGUGUGCGGAAUGCGUUGUGUAGCGGUGAAAUGCAUAGAUAUUAGGAGGAACACCAGUGGCGAAGGCGGAUUGCUGGACGACAACUGACGGUGAGGCGCGAAAGCGUGGGGAGCAAACAGGAUUAGAUACCCUGGUAGU
This 441-nucleotide ribosomal RNA is filed under the name uncultured Dysgonomonas sp. RNAcentral describes it as "bacterial SSU rRNA". It matches the Rfam family "Bacterial small subunit ribosomal RNA", at positions 355 to 794 of the family's 1533-position model. Lineage: Bacteria; Pseudomonadati; Bacteroidota; Bacteroidia; Bacteroidales; Dysgonomonadaceae. The record is from RNAcentral.